AACAGGAUUAGAUACCCUGGUAGUCCACGCCCUAAACGAUGUCUACUAGUUGUCGGGACUUAAUUGUCUUGGUAACGCAGCUAACGCGUGAAGUGGACCGCCUGGGGAGUACGGUCGCAAGAUUAAAACUCAAAGGAAUUGACGGGGACCCGCACAAGCGGUGGAUGAUGUGGAUUAAUUCGAUGCAACGCGAAAAACCUUACCUACCCUUGACAUGGCAGGAAUCCCGAAGAGAUUUGGGAGUGCUCGCAAGAGAACCUGCACACAGGUGCUGCAUGGCUGUCGUCAGCUCGUGUCGUGAGAUGUUGGGUUAAGUCCCGCAGCGAGCGCAACCCUUGUCAUUAGUUGCUACGAAAGGGCACUCUAAUGAGACUGCCGGUGACAAACCGGAGGAAGGUGGGGAUGACGUCAAGUCCUCAUGGCCCUUAUGGGUAGGGCUUCACACGUCAUACAAUGGUACAUACAGAGGGCCGCCAACCCGCGAGGGGGAGCUAAUCCCAGAAAGUGUAUCGUAGUCCGGAUUGUAGUCUGCAACUCGACUACAUGAAGUUGGAAUCGCUAGUAAUCGCGGAUCAGCAUGUCGCGGUGAAUACGUUCCCGGGUCUUGUACACACCGCCCGUCACACCAUGGGAGCGGGUUCUGCCAGAAGUAGGUAGCUUAACCGCAAGGAGGGCGCUUACCACGGCAGGGUUCGUGACUGGGGUGAAGUCGUAACAAGGUAGCCGUAAAU
Molecule: ribosomal RNA, 731 nt
Filed under: uncultured endophytic bacterium
Lineage: Bacteria
Description: bacterial SSU rRNA
Rfam family: Bacterial small subunit ribosomal RNA
Source: RNAcentral